AUUGAACGCUGGCGGCAGGCCUAACACAUGCAAGUCGAGCGAACCUAGCUUGCUAGGUGAGCGGCGAACGGGUGAGUAACGCGUAGGAAUCUGCCUGGUAGUGGGGGACAACGUUCCGAAAGGAACGCUAAUACCGCAUACGCCCUACGGGGGAAAGCAGGGGAUCUUCGGAACUUGCGCUAGCAGAUGAGCCUGCGUCGGAUUAGCCGGUUGGUAGGGUAAAGGCCUACCAAGGCGACGAUCCGUAACUGGUCUGAGAGGAUGAUCAGUCACACCGGGACUGAGACACGGUCCGGACUCCUACGGGAGGCAGCAGGAGGGAAUAUUGGACAAUGGGGGCAGCCCUGUUACAGCCAUGCCGCGGGUGUGAAGAAGGCCUUCGGGUUGUAAAGCACUGUAGGUCGGGAGGAAGGUUCGCUGGCUAAUAUCCAGCGGAAUUGACGUUACCGACAGAAUAAGCACCGGCUAACUCCGUGCCAGCCGCCGCCGUAA
RNAcentral lists this ribosomal RNA (492 nucleotides) under uncultured bacterium. Its description in RNAcentral is "partial 16S ribosomal RNA". It matches the Rfam family "Bacterial small subunit ribosomal RNA", at positions 29 to 523 of the family's 1533-position model. The record is from RNAcentral.